RNAcentral lists this ribosomal RNA (492 nucleotides) under uncultured bacterium. RNAcentral's name for it is "partial 16S ribosomal RNA". It matches the Rfam family "Bacterial small subunit ribosomal RNA", at positions 29 to 507 of the family's 1533-position model. The record is from RNAcentral.
AGUGAACGCUGGCGGUAGGCCUAACACAUGCAAGUCGAACGGCAGCACAGUAAGAGCUUGCUCUUACGGGUGGCGAGUGGCGGACGGGUGAGGAAUACAUCGGAAUCUACUUUUUCGUGGGGGAUAACGUAGGGAAACUUACGCUAAUACCGCAUACGACCUACGGGUGAAAGCAGGGGAUCUUCGGACCUUGCGCGAUUGAAUGAGCCGAUGUCGGAUUAGCUAGUUGGCGGGGUAAAGGCCCACCAAGGCGACGAUCCGUAGCUGGUCUGAGAGGAUGAUCAGCCACACUGGAACUGAGACACGGUCCAGACUCCUACGGGAGGCAGCAGUGGGGAAUCUUGGACAAUGGGCGCACGCCUGAUCCAGCCCUACCGCGUGGGUGAAGAAGGCCUUCGGGUUGUAAAGCCCUUUUGUUGGGAAAGAAAAGCAGCAGGUUAAUACCCCGCUGUUCUGACGGUACCCAAAGAAUAAGCACCGGCUAACUUCGUG